Molecule: long non-coding RNA, 3138 nt
Organism: Phasianus colchicus (ring-necked pheasant)
Lineage: Eukaryota; Metazoa; Chordata; Aves; Galliformes; Phasianidae
Source: RefSeq, a predicted model, not a curated record
CAGCAGGGGGUUGGGACUGGAUGAGCACUGUGGCCAUUCUAUGAUUCUAUGAUUCUAAUACACAUGGCAGACUGCUGCCUGGCAACAGGUGCUCCAAGUCUCUUAUCAGUCAUUUCACCUCUGUGCUUGUUGAUCUGACCUGCUGAAUGACACCCUGAGCCCAUCUGCAGAACUCAGAUCUCCCUGUAAAUGAAGAGCUUCAGAAGGUUCAGCACAACCCCUGACAGAGCAGGACUGUCCUGCAAGCACACAGAGCCUUCCUCUCCAGCAUCCUGCAGUGCUCUGGGCUGCAGCCAGCAGAAUGCAUGCCCACAGAAAUCCAUGCUUGAUGCUCAGCACAAGAGUCAGAGAAGCAUCUGCAAUUCACUUGCCCAGGGCUGCUGCUGCCACAGUCAGUGGGUACCUGUGACAACAAGGACUGGCCUUGGUGAUGCAAACAUGGAAACCAAGUCAGACUCAAAGUCCCUGUCCUGACCACUCUUUCUUUCAAUAAAAGACUAUUGAAACAAAAUAUUUUCAAUCACAAAUGCCAUUCUUGUAUCCUGGCACAGCUGUGCCUCGAGCCAGUCUUUGUACACCAUGCUGCCCCUUCCCUGGGAAAAGAUGCCAUGAAAUCCCAAUGAGAGGAUGCAUAAAGCAUCACAGGAUAUUAGUGCAACCAAAAUCCUGCACAACAGCACCUCUAGCCUUGGCCAAAUGCUUCCAUUUGCCAUUUUUGCUAGGAACUCCAAGUCAGCCAUAGGCACAUCCUCCAAGUUUUGCUGUGUUGACUUCAGUCUUUCACGAGAUGAACAUAGCAGCGUUUCUUCAUCAGGUGGUAAUGACUGAGGGGGUCAUCUCUGCAGGACAGUGUCAUCAUAAAUAGCCUGGCGAAAGCCUCGGCACAUCUUUUGAGAUGAUAAUGCAGAAGCAACCAUUUCCUCUCGCUCUUGAAGGCUGCGUUAGUGCUGUUACCGGCGUUAUUCCUGCAUGCUGACACUGAGCAGCACACGAAAUGAAGGCUGCUUUCGCCACCUGGUGCUACUAUCGGUAAUUACAGGAGAUGGCUUAUGGGAUCCCUUAGUGCUUAAUAUGCCUUCUCAAGGAAGUCGCACGUGAAACCGGGCUAUUUUAAUUGCCAUCAACAGAACGAGAUGGCAAAAAGGUGCCAAACAGUAACAGUGCCAAUAGCAACACCGCAGAAAUGCAGUCUUUAGAGGGGACAGAAAAUAGUUGCUCUUUCCUCCGUUUUCAUCCUCUUUGCAAAGCCAGUAGGAUGAGGUGUGGGGCUUGGUGCAUCCCCUAGGCUGAGCAUCCUACUUGCUUACCUUAGCACAACCAACUGUGUGGUGGGAGCUUUGGAUCUGCAGGGCUGGCAGGAAGAGUCCUGCAGCUAACUGAUGCCAAUUCAGCUUUUAUAUUCAGAUAUGCUAUUUAUCCUCCAGAAUAAAUCACUUCAAAGCCCCUCAAAGCUGGCUGGAAACUUCCCACUGAUAUGAAUGGACGUUAAGGCUCCAGCACUGUGAUUCUGAAUCCAUCUGAGAUCGCAGGCUAACCUGCACCCAAAACACCCAUCUCCUGUAUAACACAAAAAUAACUUCCCAGCAUAACUCAGGUUCAGUGCAGGAAUUAGCACUACAGCACAUGCUGUUAAGCCCUGGAUUGCUUUUCACUUUACCAUCAAAUUAGGAGAAACUCUGAUAUAUAGACACGAUCAUUUGUAUUUAAGUACCCAGCUCCUCCUGCUUGAGCACAGGUGAGCUUUGGCAGGAGGCUUGCAAGAUGUGAGUCUUGCAGUUUGUGCUGUUGUCCUUAUGGCAGGGACACUGUGACACCCCAUGGGCAGGGCAGAGGGCACUGCUGCCAUGGUGAGCACAGCACAGCCACAGCCACCACCAGGAGCAGCCCGACCCCCCAGCACCAGGGUUUGGGCAUCAUCCCUGUAGUUGUGUGGGGGACCUUGGCACCAUGGAACAAUGCAAACUGCAUUCAGGAUACCCAGCUGUGGGGCCAUGAGCACAGCAAAAAGAAGCAGCCCUGAGAGGGGCUCUGACCUCUGAUUGUUACCACUGCUGCAUUUGACAGCAAAGGAAUCAGCAGACAACCAACAGGGCAAAAAUCAGCACCUGGAGCAAUUCAAUUUGAGAGUAAUUGCAUAAAUUACGUAAUGAGAAAAAGAUUAGCUGAAUUAGGGUUUCUGUGUGAAUUCAGAAUGCAGAUAGCAUGACCACAGCCUGUGCCUUGAGCAUGCCCUUGCUCUGUAGUAGUAAUGCUCCCUAUUACUGCACAUAGCAUCUCAUCUGAUGACAGAAAUGCUUCCAGUUCCAAACAACCCCAAACUGAGGUCUGCAGAAUCAGCUCUUCCCCCAAGCUGAGCUGCAGAACCCAGCAGCACCUCCAUGACACUGUGAGCAGCGAGCAGAGCUGGAGCCUGACAGAAGUAAAGCAACAUCUUGAGCUGACACAGCCACAUGAGGCUGACCUUGGGUUGCUUCUGACUAAAAUGAAUUAGCUGGCAGAGAGAAUCAGGUGGAAAGCUGAAACUAUCAUUUUCCAGUGAUAUUCAAGGUAAAAGCCUUAGGAACAAUCUUUUGUCAGUUUCUGAGACUUGAUUAACUGCCUUAAUUUCAUAUGAUUAAUGGCUUUCAGAUCUCCGGAGGUCCAAGUCGCCAUACACAUCUUGUUACUGGGGUGUCUUCAAAAAGCCUUUCUCCAAGAAUCCUACAAGCUGAUUGAGAGCCACAGCCCCUGCUCCCCAGCAGACCUUGCCAUGCUGAACCCUCAUGCUCUCCCUGGAAUCACAUUCUGAGGGGAUGCAGAGAUCAAGACAGAUGGAGAAUGGCUGUCCCACCUGCUGAAACCCCAAAGGGAAAUUAUGUCUGCUGCAAAAACAUCAGAGACACCUCCUUCUCUUCUGGUCUUCCGGGGAAAUGGCUCAAGAGUACAUGAGAGGUGCUCAGAGAAUGUCUGGAUCUGGGUCCCUCUAGGUAUCAUCAGAUCCCCUGUGGCCUCUGUGCUGGCACUCCAGUCCUGCUGAUUGUGCUCUUUAGCACCAUAAAUGCUGCCUUUGGUCUCACCUCAACACCAGUUCAAGAGCUCUGUGGCGUAGGGCAGAAAAGAAGGAAGAAAGAAACCUUAUGAAAACACUUAAGGCUGCCC